UACGUAGGGGGCAAGCGUUGUCCGGAUUUAUUGGGCGUAAAGCGCUCGCAGGUGGUUCGAUGCGUCGUGCGUGAAAGACCCCGGCUCAACUGGGGAGGGUCGUGCGAUACGGUCGGACUGGAGGCCAGUAGGGGGAUGCGGAAUUCCGGGUGUAGUGGUGGAAUGCGUAGAGAUCCGGAGGAACACCAGCGGCGAAGGCGGCAUCCUGGACUGGUCCUGACACUCAUGAGCGAAAGCGUGGGGAGCGAACAGG
RNAcentral lists this ribosomal RNA (253 nucleotides) under uncultured bacterium. RNAcentral's name for it is "partial 16S ribosomal RNA". It matches the Rfam family "Bacterial small subunit ribosomal RNA", at positions 524 to 776 of the family's 1533-position model. The record is from RNAcentral.